GCUUGCUUUGGCAACACAUAUACUAAAAUUGGAACAAUAUAGGGAAAAUUAGCAUGGCCCUUGCAUAAGGAUAACACACGAAUUCAUGAAGCAUUCCAUAUUUUU
Acomys russatus (golden spiny mouse) is the source of this 105-nucleotide small nuclear RNA. NCBI's taxonomy places the organism in Eukaryota, Metazoa, Chordata, Mammalia, Rodentia, Muridae. The record is from RefSeq and is a predicted model, not a curated record.